GACGAACGCUGGCGGCGUGCCUAAUACAUGCAAGUUGAGCGAUGAAGAUUGGUGCUUGCACCAAUUUGAAGAGCAGCGAACGGGUGAGUAACGCGUGGGGAAUCUGCCUUUGAGCGGGGGACAACAUUUGGAAACGAAUGCUAAUACCGCAUAACAACUUUAAACAUAAGUUUUAAGUUUGAAAGAUGCAAUUGCAUCACUCAAAGAUGAUCCCGCGUUGUAUUAGCUAGUUGGUGAGGUAAAGGCUCACCAAGGCGAUGAUACAUAGCCGACCUGAGAGGGUGAUCGGCCACAUUGGGACUGGGACACGGCCCAAACUCCUACGGGAGGCAGCAGUAGGGAAUCUUCGGCAAUGGACGAAAGUCUGACCGAGCAACGCCGCGUGAGUGCAGAAGGUUCUCGGAUCGUAAAACUCUGUUGGUAGAGAAGAACGUUGGUGAGAGUGGAAAGCUCAUCAAGUGACGGUAACUACCCAGAAAGGGACGGCUAACUACGUG
Molecule: ribosomal RNA, 497 nt
Filed under: uncultured bacterium
Lineage: Bacteria
Description: partial 16S ribosomal RNA
Rfam family: Bacterial small subunit ribosomal RNA
Source: RNAcentral